Molecule: ribosomal RNA, 538 nt
Filed under: uncultured bacterium
Lineage: Bacteria
Description: bacterial SSU rRNA
Rfam family: Bacterial small subunit ribosomal RNA
Source: RNAcentral
AGAGUUUGAUCAUGGCUCAGAAUCAACGCUGGCGGCGUGCCUAACACAUGCAAGUCGAACGAGAAAGUGACUUCGGUCACUGGAAAGUGGCGUCCGGGUGAGUAACACGUGGGUAAUCUACCCUCGGGUGGGGAAUAACGGAUCGAAAGAUUCGCUAAUACCGCAUAAUGCAGCGGCACCUAAUGGUGAAUAGUUGUUAAAGCGGGGGAUCGCAAGACCUCGCGCCUGAAGAGGAGCCUGCGGCAGAUUAGCUAGUUGGUGAGGUAAUGGCUCACCAAGGCUACGAUCUGUAGCUGGUCUGAGAGGACGGCCAGCCACACUGGCACUGACACACGGGCCAGACUCCUACGGGAGGCAGCAGUGGGGAAUUUUGGGCAAUGGGCGAAAGCCUGACCCAGCAACGCCGCGUGAGGGAGGAAAUCCUUCGGGAUGUAAACCUCGCAAGCAAGGGAAGAAUGCCCGAGACUUAAUACGUUUCGGGAGGGACGGUACCUUGCGUAAGCCACGGCUAACUACGUGCCAGCCGCCGCGGUAAUUC